Molecule: transfer RNA, 76 nt
Filed under: Rheinheimera mesophila
Lineage: Bacteria; Pseudomonadati; Pseudomonadota; Gammaproteobacteria; Chromatiales; Chromatiaceae
Description: Pararheinheimera mesophila tRNA-Val
Rfam family: tRNA
About the family: Transfer RNA (tRNA) molecules are approximately 80 nucleotides in length. Their secondary structure includes four short double-helical elements and three loops (D, anti-codon, and T loops). Further hydrogen bonds mediate the characteristic L-shaped molecular structure. tRNAs have two regions of fundamental functional importance: the anti-codon, which is responsible for specific mRNA codon recognition, and the 3' end, to which the tRNAs corresponding amino acid is attached (by aminoacyl-tRNA synthetases). tRNAs cope with the degeneracy of the genetic code in two manners: having more than one tRNA (with a specific anti-codon) for a particular amino acid; and 'wobble' base-pairing, i.e. permitting non-standard base-pairing at the 3rd anti-codon position.
Source: RNAcentral
GGAUGCUUAGCUCAGCUGGGAGAGCACCGCCCUUACAAGGCGGGGGUCACUGGUUCGAACCCAGUAGCAUCCACCA